AACGGAUUGCCAUACAUUGUAUCAGACUUACCCAUUCGCUAACCCAAGGCUACCCUUAGAUGAUCUAUACCUGAUCCUGUGUUCUAAAGUGAUCUGCUUUCACAGCUACAUUUCUGUGUUCUUUUCCGUUGGUCUAUGGUUCUGAAUUGAGGCAGGUUUUUAUUUGCUUUUCAACAUCCAUUUCAUAGUGGUACAUGUGGCUUUGAUUAAUAUUACCAUAAAGACUGCCGAAAAUGGGUGUGGUACGGAAACUCAGAAAUGGCAUGAGUUCAACAUCAAACAUGGAUUAGAAUUUUAGCGGGGAAUCAAGUCAAAUCUGGAAGUGUUACAGGAUGGAAGAGUGAGCCUACAGUUUAAAAAACACAGAGUACAUUACCAUUAAGUUACUAUUUGUGUGAUUACGCAAAGGAUUGCGCCAUCCAGGCAAUGUGGAUAUUCUGCCAUGUACAUAAUAAACCGAGGAUUCUUCGUCAACAUGCAAUAUGUUACUCCCUGUAAACUACUGUUGGCGGAAAAGCUGAUACAUUGGGCAAACGGUUAUGGCAAGUGCGAUGAAUAAAUCACCAUAGGUCAGUUGUCUUGCCUUCACAAUUGCAACGAAGAUGAAUCAUGGAGUCAAAAACAUUAAAAGGUGCAUGGAACGUCCAAUCGGAAAGCCCAUGGAAGGUCUCUGUGGCCAACACGAAAGGUUCUCCCAAACUUUCGUAUUCAAGUUUUGGCUAUGGUGAUCAUUUGCAACUGCAUAGCCUUUUAGAAGCUCCUGCCAGGAAUCUACAGGAAUAUGGCAGAUGAUGAAUUUAUGUACCAUGUAAGCGAUAUCAAUAAGAACGUCUUAUGCUUAUCUAUGUUUUAUUUUCUUAAUUUAGAUUAAUAGCAAUAGUGAACCUGCGAAGGUUUCUGGUUGGGAUGUGAUAACGAAAAGUUAUAAUAAUUUGAAGUACGGAAUUGAAUUUCCCUCCAUCAGUCGCCUGUGUAUUCCCGCGUAUUACGGUAUUAAUUAUUUAAAAAUUGAAGUGCAUUACUGUUAAGGUAUGAGGUAAAGUAAU
Molecule: long non-coding RNA, 1046 nt
Organism: Daphnia carinata
Lineage: Eukaryota; Metazoa; Arthropoda; Branchiopoda; Diplostraca; Daphniidae
Exons: 7
Source: RefSeq, a predicted model, not a curated record